GAUGAAGAACGUAGUGAAAUGCGAUAAGUAGUGUGAAUUGCAGAAUUCAGUGAAUCAUCGAAUCUUUGAACGCACAUUGCGCCCCUUGGUAUUCCAUGGGGCAUGCCUGUUCGAGCGUCAUUUGUACCUUCAAGCUCUGCUUGGUGUUGGGUGUUUGUCUCGCCUCUGCGUGUAGACUCGCCUUAAAACAAUUGGCAGCCGGCGUAUUGAUUUCGGAGCGCAGUACAUCUCGCGCUUUGCACUCAUAACGACGACGUCCAAAAGUACAUUUUUACACUCUUGACCUCGGAUCAGGUAGGGAUACCCGUUGAACUUAAGCAUAUCAAUAAGCGGAGGA
Molecule: unclassified non-coding RNA, 337 nt
Filed under: soil metagenome
Description: partial contains 5.8S ribosomal RNA, internal transcribed spacer 2, and large subunit ribosomal RNA
Rfam family: 5.8S ribosomal RNA (bases 1-120)
Source: RNAcentral